UAGACAGUCAACCUAAAACACACAGUGUCCAUUAUAUUUCAAAGAGAAGGACCGCCAUGAUUCACAAUAAAGACUCCAAUAAGGCAGUGGCAGACAUGGCUCAUGGCUCGGUUAUGUCUUCUCUAAAAUACGUUUUUGAAGAAGGGAUAAGAAGUUGGGAAGGAUGUCUGGACGGCGACCCCUUCAUGUCUCAAGUACAGGGGAAUGAAAAGAGGAGAGACCUGAAGUGUUGGUGGAGAGCACUGAUUAAGCCAGGGGACCACGGGUCUAGAACAUCCUGUCAAAGGUUCCGAGGGUCAGAACUGGAGAUGACCUGAGAAGAACUGGAACCAGCUACAACCUGGGGAGCAUCAGACACCCAGAACAAGGGGCUGUUCCUGGUUUUGCUGUUCUGGGAUGUUCAUUGCUAUCCCUAUCAACAAGCCUACAGGUUGGGCCAAGUCUACCCAAGAAUUUCAACUCUAUGGUCCACUUGUCAAACCCAGCCAAAUUAACGCCUACACACGUUACUUCCUUAAACAUGAACCCAUUUCUUCUGGUUCAAGCCUCCCUGUUCCUGUUGACUCUAGGAGUCCUAUUGAUGGGGGCUCCAAUCUUGGUAUUUAGAGUUUUGCUCCCUUGAAGACUACUGCUUCCCCUUACCUCGUUCCUCAGGCUCCUGAACAGACUGGAUGUCUUUCUGCAGGAGUAGCUUACCCUAGUUUUCUUCCUUUACCUCCACGGUGUGAGUCUUCACCAAGUACCUUCCAGGCAGGGGAAAUCUCUCACUUUGAGAGUGUUUAUGAACAUGGCAACAGAGUGAGUUUGAAGACCAAUGGUUCCCACUUCCUGAGGGUGCAGUUGAGGCAGGUUCUAUUCCAGCCCCACUCCCUGCUACAAUAGCCCCACCCCUAUCCCAAGUUAUUAGACCAGAACCUAGCCAGGAAGGUCUUGAGGCUCAUUAUGGGGAGCUGUUCAUCACUAGGAAGUUCCCUGCUGGCAUCAUCACCCAUUUAAGAACCACAUAUGACCAAUGGAGCUCAGCUAGUUUCGUCAGGUACCAUCCUGCUCCCGUCCAAUACCGACCACUAUCUCCUCAUGCCCGCCGGCAGUGACCAGUAGGAGAAGGUACAGUUUUUGGCUUUGCUUUGUCACAUGUUUUUUGACGUGUUGAGCAGCUGUGACACUUUCGAUCUCAUCCUCAGGUUCUGUGCUAACCUGGAUCCUGCUGUUUCAUGGCUGUGUUGCUUACUAAUAAACCUACUUGAGAAA
Long non-coding RNA from Oncorhynchus tshawytscha (Chinook salmon), 1251 nucleotides. The record is from Ensembl. NCBI's taxonomy places the organism in Eukaryota, Metazoa, Chordata, Actinopteri, Salmoniformes, Salmonidae.